CCACUGUACCAAACUAUUGCUGCUGCCACCAUUAAUGAGCUGCUCUUGUCCAUCUUUUUGAAAAUUCCAUGAAAAUGAUACUCCUUCAAACGGUUCUUUUCUCAAGAUCUCCAACAAUCGAAGUUCUUCAAUUGGUUCCUUCAGAUCGGAAGUUUGGGAAUACCAACCAAGGUAAAUCAGCAGUCGCAUAGAUGCUUCUCAUUUCAUUUAUACGGGACUGCCUAAUUUCAGUUACUUCUCUUACAUAUAAUUAUCACAUAAACACAUCAAAAAAAAAAUCAAAAAAAAUAAAAACCUCAACUUGUUUUAAAAAAAGACAAGAAGUCGAAUCAAAGCCCGAAGAAGCAGAUAAAAGCCUUUCCCUUUCAAAUCGCCUUCGAACGAGGCCAAUCUAUUCAAAUAUGAAUUCUAUAGGAGAAAAGGAAAUCAUUGAUCCCCAUAAAGCUAUAAAGCUAUCUUUUGAAUCUGGAUCCAAAAAGCUAACCUAAAUAAAAAUCACUCUCUAGUCCACAAGUAAAAAACUAAACUUUUAUAUAAAAAAAAAAAAACCAUGUUACUUAUUGUUUUAGAGUUCUACAUUUGAAAUUUCAUUGAAAAAGAAGUUAAAAUCGAUCUAGAAAUCAUCAAAUUAUCAAAUCUUAACUUUGAUGAAAAACCUCCAAAUUUUUUCUGGAAUAGUUAGUGGGUAAUGAUGAAAAAUUUAAUUAGAGACGUAUCCAAAAAAGAAAUCUUAAAAAAUCACAUUUUGAAUCUCUCUAAAUCAAAGAUCUGAGGCUCUAAGCUUAAAAAAUGAUGAAAAUAAGGACUUAACGAAAAAAGAUUUUUAAUCAAUGUUACUCUAUCCCCUUUUGCGAACACGAGAGACCUAUUGCGAACAUGACCAAAUCUCCGAGAAUGCAAUGACCAAUUGACCUAAAUUGAACUAACCCCCUACCCUUCGCAAAUUUAACUCCAACCACCGCAGACAUGACAACCAUCUGACUCCCUUCUUUGCAAAAGUGACACAAGUUAGGAUAUACUAUUAACCAUGUAGUUUGAGUUAUAGUAUUAUAUUUUCAUCCCAUGUAAAGAUAAUUUACUAUAUUAAUAAAAUCGUUAUUUUAAUA
This is a long non-coding RNA of Capsicum annuum, 1106 nucleotides long. RefSeq lists it as uncharacterized. The record is from RefSeq and is a predicted model, not a curated record. The transcript has 2 exons. NCBI's taxonomy places the organism in Eukaryota, Viridiplantae, Streptophyta, Magnoliopsida, Solanales, Solanaceae.